AUUGAACGCUGGCGGCAUGCCUUACACAUGCAAGUCGAACGGCAGCACGGGGGCAACCCUGGUGGCGAGUGGCGAACGGGUGAGUAAUACAUCGGAACGUGUCCUAUCGUGGGGGAUAACUAGUCGAAAGACUAGCUAAUACCGCAUGAGAUCGAGAGAUGAAAGCAGGGGACCGCAAGGCCUUGCGCGAUUGGAGCGGCCGAUGUCGGAUUAGCUAGUUGGCGGGGUAAAAGCCCACCAAGGCGACGAUCCGUAGCUGGUUUGAGAGAACGACCAGCCACACUGGGACUGAGACACGGCCCAGACUCCUACGGGAGGCAGCAGUGGGGAAUUUUGGACAAUGGGGGAAACCCUGAUCCAGCCAUGCCGCGUGUGUGAAGAAGGCCUUCGGGUUGUAAAGCACUUUCGGACGGAACGAAAUCGCAAGGGUGAAUAUCCCUUGUGGAUGACGGUACCGUAAGAAGAAGCACCGGCUAACUACGUG
This 484-nucleotide ribosomal RNA is filed under the name uncultured organism. RNAcentral's name for it is "bacterial SSU rRNA". It matches the Rfam family "Bacterial small subunit ribosomal RNA", at positions 29 to 507 of the family's 1533-position model. The record is from RNAcentral.